GAAACACGGACCAAGGAGUCUAGCAUGUGCGCGAGUCAUUGGGACAUAACUAAACCUAAAGGCGCAAUGAAAGUGAAUGUCCGCCUCGCGCGGACAGAGGGAAGAUGGGCGCCGGUCGUAACAAGCCGCGUCCCGCAUUCCCGGGGCGUCUCGUUCUCAUUGCGAGAAGAGGCGCACCAAGAGCGUACACGCUGGGACCCGAAAGAUGGUGAACUAUGCCUGGUCAGGACGAAGUCAGGGGAAACCCUGAUGGAGGUCCGUAGCGAUUCUGACGUGCAAAUCGAUCGUCGGAACUGGGUAUAGGGGCGAAAGACUAAUCGAACCAUCUAGUAGCUGGUUCCCUCCGAAGUUUCCCUCAGGAUAGCUGGCGCUCGUAGCGCACGAGUCUCAUCCGGUAAAGCGAAUGAUUAGAGGCAUUGGGGCCGAAACGGCCUCAACCUAUUCUCAAACUUUAAAUGGGUGAGAUCUCCGGCUUGCUCGAACCGAUGAAGCCGCGAGAUACGGAUCAGAGUGCCAAGUGGGCCAUUUUUGGUAAGCAGAACUGGCGCUGUGGGAUGAACCAAACGUUGAGUUAAAGCGCCCAAAUCGACGCUUAUGGGACACCAUGAAAGGCGUUGGUAACUUAAGACAGCAGGACGGUGGCCAUGGAAGUCGGAAUCCG
This 661-nucleotide ribosomal RNA is filed under the name Attalus fortunatus. RNAcentral's name for it is "partial 28S large subunit ribosomal RNA". It matches the Rfam family "Eukaryotic large subunit ribosomal RNA", at positions 656 to 1270 of the family's 3401-position model. Lineage: Eukaryota; Metazoa; Arthropoda; Insecta; Coleoptera; Melyridae. The record is from RNAcentral.